Long non-coding RNA from Microplitis mediator, 428 nucleotides. RefSeq lists it as uncharacterized. The record is from RefSeq and is a predicted model, not a curated record. The transcript is spliced from 4 exons. NCBI's taxonomy places the organism in Eukaryota, Metazoa, Arthropoda, Insecta, Hymenoptera, Braconidae.
CAUCGAUAUCAAAAGAUAAAUUUUACGUCUUAAUCGGAAAGGUCGAAGAACACAAUCUGUCAAUAUAUAACAGUCAGCAAUUCGCGGAUCGAUCACAUACAAGCUUGCAGAACUUCAGAAAACUACAAUCGUUUCAAGACGUAAAAUAAAAAAAUGUCGAAAAUAAUUUUCUUGUUAUCAAUUUUUGUAUUGGUUGUUAUGUAUUCUGGUGUAUAUGCAGAAUGUCCUGGCGGUUGGUGCCAUCCAUCACAAGGAUAUGGCUGUUGUAAAGGAAAUGAAUGCAGUAAUUAUUACUUUCAAGGUAUAUGCAUUAGUGAUGUUGAGGCGAGAUUCAUAGCAAUUGCACACGGAAAAUAAUUAUAACAAUGCAAUAAGGAUUUAUAAAUGUAUUGUAUAAACUAAUAAAAAUAUCUUAUUUUUGAAGAAAA